GUAAAAUAUUCUUUCAACUUUAAACAGUAAGAGACUCAGAAGUCUCAACCUAAGAAGAUCAUGAUGAAAACCCAAAUUGCGGCCUUAUCCAUCGAAAAUCCUCACGGUAUCAAAGGGUUUGUCAAUCAAAUCAUAUGGAAGUUUGUUGAACAAUCACAAUGAAAAUAGACCCUGCUGGGUUGGUAGUGAAAUUGUCCUUCCGCCUUCAGUUGGCUUCUAUGCUUAUUGCAAUUAACGUUGUACUCUAACUGUUCGACAAAUUUCAUGAAAGAGAAGUUUAUCGAUCUUUGCUCAACCCUUGCUAUGAGAAGUUUGAAAUUGUCUUUUAAGGGGUGUAAUUGGUGCAGGAAAUUCUCAUGUUUUCUGGGUUUAUGCAAAGCGAUUCUUUUGAAAAUAAUUUGAUCUUGUAAUUGUAUGAGAAUGAGAUUCCAGUUGUUGGGUGGUUACUCAUCAGUCAUUACUUUGUUUUAUGACCUUUUGACUAUCUAAAGUGAAUUACAUGGCUAUUCUUGGUGGAGAUUAACAAUAAGUUUCUUGAGGCAAGGUCCACUUCUUUGAAUUAUGAAAUUGAUCAUAUCAAUCAUUUUGAAGCCUUAACCAUUGACUCAAGAGAUGGUCAUUGGACACAUCCCUCAUAAUUCGCAUGAGUAAUGGAAAAAUUAUGAACCCACUUAAAAUCAUCGGUGUAAAUCAUGUAAAUAAUCACAACAGAAGCAGGGAUUUGCUUCUUUUUUUUUUGUUUGAAUCAAAAUCUUAUUGAUAUGCUGGGGUAGUAUUGAAAAUUGAAGUUAGCAACAAAUCUUCAUGAUUGGCUUGCCCUGGCAUGCAAGCGGCAACAAUACAAGGAAUGUAGAACUUGAAAAGGGAAUUUGUAAUCUGAAGUUGGUCAUUUGUCCAUCUAUUAGGCACUUCAGUAAGGAGAGAGUUGAUAUUGAUAUUGCGGCUAAAAUAAGAUAAGACAUGAGAUCAAGCUAUCAAGGGUAAAUAUGAUUUAGCUUUUCUAAUUCCGUAUGGACAAUGAUUUAUGCUUUAGAGCAAGAACAUGAUUACAUGAUUGCAAGGAUGAAUACAAGUGCCUCAUUGCACCUCUCCCUGUAGAUGCGCCUGUCGAGCGUUUGAACGACGCCUAUUUUCAGGCCGUUAAAACAUCUAAUCACAGGCGCCAAGGAAGAAGAAGCCCUCUAAGGCUGUCUAUGGUGUUGUUGACGCGGCACAGCAUUAUUAUGCUGAAUUUGUGACGUCGCAAUCCCAAUACCAAGCCGCUCCUCCUUCGGCCCUAAUAGUUAAUGAGAGGUUGGAUCAUUUUCAAGAAGUUUUGAAUCAAAUAGAUGAUCGCCUCAACAAUUCCAUUUCGAGGGAGGAGCAUAUGGCCCUUGUGGAGGAGCAACGCAAAACAAGGAAAGAGGUGAUCCAUUUGCUAUCCUUUGUGCGCACGCUGCUCCAGCAGAAUUCGGCUUUCCAGUAACCUCCUCCGCCUCCACCAUCCAGCUAAACCAUUUUUUUAGGUUAAUGUUGAAUUCUGUUCGGAUACUUUAUUUGGAAUUGCAUAAUUUAUUUGGCUGAUACUUUUAUGUUUUUUUAAUUUGUGUAUAAAUUUAGUUUCGUUCGUAUUCGAGCUUAUUUUUAUCAUUU
Molecule: long non-coding RNA, 1632 nt
Organism: Amaranthus tricolor (Joseph's coat)
Lineage: Eukaryota; Viridiplantae; Streptophyta; Magnoliopsida; Caryophyllales; Amaranthaceae
Exons: 4
Source: RefSeq, a predicted model, not a curated record